CAUAGAGCACGAGGAGCAGUCUAGAGCGCCCCCGCGCGGCUGAGCGGCAGCCGAACCAGCCACGGUGCCCGGACGACUGGCUGGCGCCCUUCUGUCCCACCGCUUCCCCUCCCACUGCUCAGCUGGCUCCGGGAGCGACCUGCGAGAGUGGCCCGGCCUCCCGGCAUUUGCAGAUGAGGAGGAUGGGGCCAGAGCGAAGAGGGACAACUGUCAUUUUUUCGAGUAACGGCACAUACCAGGCGCUUUGCCUAAGAUCGCAUUUAAUCGUCACAGCACUGCUAGAGAGCCCUUGAUGUCCUGCAAAUGAAGGAGGAGGAUGUCCUUAAGUUCCUUGCAGCAGGAACCCACUUAGGUGGUACCAACCUUGACUUCCAAAUGGAGUAGCACAUCUGUAAGAAGAAAAGUGAUGGCGUCUACAUCCUACAUCUGAAGAGGACCUGGGAGAAGCAAGAAGUUUCUGCUGGCAGCUCGUGCCAUCGCUGCCUUUAAAAACCCUGUUGAUGUCAGUGUCAUGUCCUCUAGCAAUACUGGCCAGAGGGCUGUGCUGAAGUUUGCUGCUGCCACUGGAGCCACUCAAAUUGUUGGCCGCUUCACUCCUGGAACCUUCACUAGCCAGACCCAGGCAGCCUUCAGGGAGCCACGGCUUCUAGUGGUUACUGAUCCCAGGGCUGACCACCAGCCUCUCACAGAGACAUCUUAUGUUAACCUACCUACCA
Long non-coding RNA from Homo sapiens (human), 716 nucleotides. The record is from Ensembl. Lineage: Eukaryota; Metazoa; Chordata; Mammalia; Primates; Hominidae.